Molecule: long non-coding RNA, 1474 nt
Filed under: Homo sapiens (human)
Lineage: Eukaryota; Metazoa; Chordata; Mammalia; Primates; Hominidae
Description: HSALNT0087350
Source: RNAcentral
AGCAGCUGUAAAUAACACAGUGCUAUUCGAGCCAAUUGCUCUGAACCGGGUGAUAUGAUCAUAUUCUUUUUAACGACUUUCUCUGAGGUAUGAGUUGAGAUUUUUCUCCUUCAUCCUCAUGCUGUAUAAUCUGGAUUUAUGUUCAACGUGACCGUUGAGCCUUCACAAUGAAUUUGUCCUGUGAAAAGAUCAGUUGAUACGGAGCCUGGAUCCCAGAUUCUCACCACAGAGUGGGCGCUCAUUAUUUGCACGUCAGCAUCUAAGUCAUCAAUCUCUAGCAGCCACACUCACCCAGAUGAAGCUCCAAACCCAGGGCAUGAAUCUGAAGGCAUAUUGAGCUGAAACAGCUACGUCAUUUUUUAACUGUGAGGGGAGAAUCUGAGAAUCUGAGAAGAUGAGAAUGGAGCCAAGAUAGCAUAAAGUGGAUCCAAGAAAUGGAGAGAAAGAAACACUUUGUCAGGAAUAUUGAGUGACAUAGAUGAGCACAUUAAUGGAGAGGGAGAGGUAAGAACAAUGUAUUACAAUGAGAUGAAUUUCUUGACUAAAAUGACAUAUCUGAAUAUUUCUAUUAUUUUUCAAUUUUUAUGCCAAUUUCUAUUUGACAAUGUCGUACUAGCAUUAUAGUUUUGAAAAGUCAGGGCUUUGAAAUUAAUAUAUUUUAGUUUUUAAUCCACACUAGCUGGUUCACAUUAAAAGUGAUUAAGCCUUUUUUUAGCCUCAAGUUUCUCUUCUGUAAAAUAAGGACAAAAACACAGCAUUCUUAAAAUUAUUGAAAAUCAUAAGGUAAAUGAACAGCUUAAAAUCAAACAGACUUUGGAGCCAAAUAAGCGCUAAGUAAGCGGAACUUGUAAGAUAGACAGUCUACCUCUGUUCAAAUUCUUGGUGGUGAAUUAUCCACCACCAGAAAAGGCAGUGCACAUCCCAUUUUUUCAGGUCUUUAUGCUGUGUUGACUUGACUGUGCUGACUUGACUGUGCUACAGCCCAUAGCUUUUCAAUCAAACACUGAUCUAUGUGUUUCUAGGAGGUUAUUUUGCAGAUGCGAUUAUGGCCCAUAAUCAGCUGCUUUCAGAUAAAUUAUCCUAUGUAACCUAGGUGGGCCUGUUUCAAUCCAGGGAAAGGCCUUAAAAGCAGAGCUGAUUGAGACUUUCCUCAUGAAGAAAUUCCUGUAGACAGCAGGCAACAUCAGCUCCUAACCAGGGGUUCCAGCCUGCCCUUCCCGACUGCCUGUCAUAUGGAUUUUGAUUGCCUAACCAAUCCCCACAGUUGCAUAGGCCAAUUCUUUACAAUGAAUCUUUGAAUAUAUAUAUCUCCUACUGAUUCUGUAUCUUUGCCUGUACCUUGACUAAUACAAGGCCCAAGCAUGAAUUCAUUCAGCAAAUAGGAAAAGUUUUCUGUAUACUAAGAAUUGUUCUAGUUACCAAGGAUGCUAUAGAGAACAAACUAGAUAUUGCCCUGAUCAUCAUUUGAACUAAU